Molecule: ribosomal RNA, 253 nt
Filed under: uncultured bacterium
Lineage: Bacteria
Description: partial 16S ribosomal RNA
Rfam family: Bacterial small subunit ribosomal RNA
Source: RNAcentral
UACGGGGGGAGCAAGCGUUGUUCGGAUUUACUGGGCGUAAAGCGCACGUAGGCGGAUCUUUAAGUCAGGGGUGAAAUCCUGGAGCUCAACUCCAGAACUGCCUUUGAUACUGAGGACCUUGAGUUCGGGAGAGGUGAGUGGAACUGCGAGUGUAGAGGUGAAAUUCGUAGAUAUUCGCAAGAACACCAGUGGCGAAGGCGGCUCACUGGCCCGAUACUGACGCUGAGGUGCGAAAGCGUGGGGAGCAAACAGG